RNAcentral lists this transfer RNA (76 nucleotides) under Planctomycetota bacterium. Its description in RNAcentral is "Planctomycetes bacterium (activated sludge metagenome) tRNA-Lys". It matches the Rfam family "tRNA". From Rfam's summary of the family: Transfer RNA (tRNA) molecules are approximately 80 nucleotides in length. The record is from RNAcentral. Lineage: Bacteria; Pseudomonadati; Planctomycetota.
GGGCUGCAAGCAUUCGUGGCCGAUGCACCGGUCUUUUAAACCGGGGAACUCGGUUCGAUUCCGAGGUGGCCUACCA